AUACACAGGAGGUCCUGCUAACCAAGAGGGAGGGAUAUACACAGGAGGUCCUGCUAACCAAGAGGGAGGGAUAUACACAGGAGGUCCUGCUAACCAAGUGGGAAGGGAUAUACACAGGAGGUCCUGUUAACCAACCUAGAGGGGGCGGGGGGGGGAUAUACACAGGAGGUCCUGUUAACCUAGAGGAAGGGAUAUACACAGGAGGUCCUGUUAACCUAGAGGAAGGGAUACACACAGGAGGUCCUGUUAACCUAGUGGGAAGGGAUAUACACAGGAGGUCCUGUUAACCUAGAGGAAGGGAUAUACACAGGAGGUCCUGUUAACCUAGAGGAAGGGAUAUACACAGGAGGUCCUG
Oncorhynchus mykiss (rainbow trout) is the source of this 355-nucleotide non-coding RNA. NCBI's taxonomy places the organism in Eukaryota, Metazoa, Chordata, Actinopteri, Salmoniformes, Salmonidae. The record is from RefSeq and is a predicted model, not a curated record.